Molecule: ribosomal RNA, 448 nt
Filed under: uncultured bacterium
Lineage: Bacteria
Description: partial 16S ribosomal RNA
Rfam family: Bacterial small subunit ribosomal RNA
Source: RNAcentral
CCAGACUCCUACGGGAGGCAGCAGUGGGGAAUAUUGGGCAAUGGGCGCAAGCCUGACCCAGCAACGCCGCGUGAAGGAAGAAGGCUUUCGGGUUGUAAACUUCUUUUAUGAGAGACGAAAGAAAUGACGGUACCUCAUGAAUAAGCCACGGCUAACUACGUGCCAGCAGCCGCGGUAAUACGUAGGUGGCAAGCGUUAUCCGGAUUUACUGGGUGUAAAGGGCGUGUAGGCGGGACUGCAAGUCAGAUGUGAAAAUUAUGGGCUCAACCCAUAACCUGCAUUUGAAACUGUAGUUCUUGAGUGAUGGAGAGGUAAGAGGAAUUCCUAGUGUAGCGGUGAAAUGCGUAGAUAUUAGGAGGAACACCAGUGGCGAAGGCGUCUUACUGGACCGAAACUGACGUUGAGGCUCGAAAGCGUGGGGAGCAAACAGGAUUAGAUACCCCCGUAA